Molecule: ribosomal RNA, 119 nt
Filed under: Amphiprion ocellaris (clown anemonefish)
Lineage: Eukaryota; Metazoa; Chordata; Actinopteri; Pomacentridae
Source: RNAcentral
GCUUACGGCCAUACCAGCCUGAAUACGCCCGAUCUCGUCUGAUCUUGGAAGCUAAGCAGGGUCGGGCCUGGUUAGUACUUGGAUGGGAGACCGCCUGGGAAUACCAGGUGCUGUAAGCU